RNAcentral lists this ribosomal RNA (398 nucleotides) under uncultured bacterium. RNAcentral's name for it is "bacterial SSU rRNA". It matches the Rfam family "Bacterial small subunit ribosomal RNA", at positions 28 to 419 of the family's 1533-position model. The record is from RNAcentral.
GACGAACGCUGGCGGCGCGCUUAACACAUGCAAGUCGAGCGAGAACCAGGACUUCGGUCCUGGGGACAGCGGCGAACGGGUGAGUAACACGUGGAUAACCUGCCCUCGGCACCGGGAUAGCCCGAGGAAACUCGGAUUAAUACCGGAUAGCCCUUCCGACUCUCGAGUCGGUCCGAAAAGGUAGCUUCGGCCUCUGGCCGAGGAUGGGUCCGCGGCGGAUUAGCUUGUUGGUGGGGUAACGGCCUACCAAGGCAUCGAUCCGUAGCUGGUCUGAGAGGACGAUCAGCCACACUGGGACUGAGACACGGCCCAGACUCCUACGGGAGGCAGCAGUGGGGAAUCUUGCGCAAUGGGCGAAAGCCUGACGCAGCGACGCCGCGUGAGGGAAGAAGGCCUGG